GAUGGUGUUAUUGAUUAAAUAAUUCAUGGAAGGUGAGUAGAAACAGGGGACAAAGGUGGUGGCCCCAAGGAGGAGCUUUAGGGUCAUGAAGGCGACGCGGUCUGGGUUCAGAACGGUCACUAAACAGCUGGCUGCCGCGUGCUAUUAACAGCUGUAACAUUUAGGAAAGGUUUUCUCUUCCUACAAUGGCCCUGCAUCGGUAACCAGGCCAGCGACAGGGGUGGAAGGGAGCGUUUUGGAUGAGAACGGGGUAUUUUGGGCAAAGAGUGGGAUAAGGGUUUUGAAAUUUUAGAACGUUAGGAGGGGGGCACAGGCUGG
Molecule: long non-coding RNA, 318 nt
Filed under: Phoenix dactylifera (date palm)
Lineage: Eukaryota; Viridiplantae; Streptophyta; Magnoliopsida; Arecales; Arecaceae
Description: long non-coding RNA (PDAC_LNC005140)
Source: RNAcentral